Molecule: ribosomal RNA, 253 nt
Filed under: uncultured bacterium
Lineage: Bacteria
Description: partial 16S ribosomal RNA
Rfam family: Bacterial small subunit ribosomal RNA
Source: RNAcentral
UACAGAGGUGCCGAGCGUUAGGCGGAAUCACUGGGCUUAAAGCGUGUGUAGGCGGACGUCUAAGUACCUUGUGAAAUUCCACGGCUCACCCGUGGAACUGCUGGGUAUACUGGGCGUCUUGAGCCACCUAGGGGCCAGCGGAACAAAUGGUGGAGCGGUGAAAUGCGUAGAUAUCAUUUGGAACGCCAACGGUGAAAGCAGCUGGCUGGGGGUGUGCUGACGCUGAGACACGAAAGCCAGGGGAGCGAACGGG